This 266-nucleotide unclassified non-coding RNA is filed under the name Hevea brasiliensis (rubber tree). Lineage: Eukaryota; Viridiplantae; Streptophyta; Magnoliopsida; Malpighiales; Euphorbiaceae. The record is from RNAcentral.
AACAAAAAUGUUAAAUCAUAUGGGCAAAAAGAUCAGAUAUUAAUAUCCAAGUUAAGACCAAGACCACCUAAAAUGCAAAGACUGUGAAAGGCAGAAGUGGAAUUCAGAAAGAGUGAAAGAAAGAAAGAUAGCUGUAUGGAAGUAGUCAAGCAAUAAGUCACAUUAUAUUAAAGAUUAUCAUCAAUUGUCUCGAAGAAAACAUACACCAUCAAUAUCAAUGAAUAAUUUAGCAAAAGAAAACCCUUAAAACAGAAAUUCAACUAAAA